This 605-nucleotide long non-coding RNA is filed under the name Equus caballus (horse). RNAcentral describes it as "lncRNA (ENSECAG00000050569.1)". The record is from RNAcentral. Lineage: Eukaryota; Metazoa; Chordata; Mammalia; Perissodactyla; Equidae.
CAAUGUCUAUGUAACCAUUGAUCCCUAACUUGUGACAUUUCAUUUUACAACUGACCUUUUUACCAAUGUUCCUGGCAUGUUGAUUAAAAUAAAGCCGAAGAUAGAGUGACACCAGUGGUCACACCGCCGGACCAGGCCUGCAGACCCCAUUUUUCGUCAACGGUCACUAUGGAAUUUGAACCAAUGCCGUGGUUUCAGAUACCACCCAGCAUGCAGUGCCAUCAAGCUUCAGUAGAAUGCCGAGCACACAAGUGGGACUGAGAAUUAUAACCCUGAAGUCUAAGCAGGGGACCCCUCAGGAAUCUGGAACAAGGACCCCACAGCAUGAGCAAGUGCCAUGGUCUCUGCAAGGAAAGUCACCUGCAGUGGCAGAAGCAGCAGUGCUGAUGGCUGAUUGGACUCUUAGUUCUCCCUCUAAACGUGGAACUUGAGCCCCGGUCGCCUGAUGUCUCUACGCCUCCUUCCUUCACGUGGGGGCUCCACGAAGACAGUUGUGAAUCAUCGUGACGUCUCUCCCAUCACUAGGUCCUAUCAGCCUGCGGACAGAUUUCGAGACCCCUCCCCCAGUCUAACUGGUGAAUCUAGCAAGCAACCUGCACAGGCUU